RNAcentral lists this ribosomal RNA (253 nucleotides) under uncultured bacterium. RNAcentral's name for it is "partial 16S ribosomal RNA". It matches the Rfam family "Bacterial small subunit ribosomal RNA", at positions 524 to 776 of the family's 1533-position model. The record is from RNAcentral.
UACGUAGGGUCCGAGCGUUGUCCGGAAUUAUUGGGCGUAAAGAGCUCGUAGGCGGUCUGUCGCGUCGGCUGUGAAAACCUGGGGCUCAACUCCAGGCCUGCAGUCGAUACGGGCAGACUAGAGUUCGGUAGGGGAGACUGGAAUUCCUGGUGUAGCGGUGAAAUGCGCAGAUAUCAGGAGGAACACCCGUGGCGAAAGCGGCUCUCUGGGACGGUACUGACGCUGAGACGCGAAAGCGUGGGGAGCAAACAGG